This is a long non-coding RNA of Papio anubis (olive baboon), 2709 nucleotides long. NCBI's taxonomy places the organism in Eukaryota, Metazoa, Chordata, Mammalia, Primates, Cercopithecidae. The record is from Ensembl.
AUGGCUGAGAAACACCUCAUCCCGAUGACUGUGGGGUUAAAUCCGUCACCAGUUGCAGCCCCUGGACAAGUGAUGGGCCCUGCUAUUUUUUUGUUUUCAGAUGAAAUCACCAAGACUUGCUCACAGAGACACAGCUGGAAAGUAGAAGCACCAGGAUUCAAACCCAGGCCAGUGGGAAGCCUGAGGCUCUUACCUACCCUCCCUUCAAUGCUGCCUCCCUUCAUACUGCACUGCUCCCUUCCCAAUGUCCCUACUUCUCCUGUCCUCAUUUCAACUGCUCAUCCAUCUUCCCAGACUUUUCUACAGACAUGCGGCAUUGCAGUACUGCUCUUGCUACAAAUGUCAGAUUUCCUUGGUCAGAUUUGCUUAGUGUGGGACUUUCUGCUGAGAUAUAUCAGAGAUGUUACGACUGCGAGAAAUGCAGGCAGAAGUUAUCUGCGAUCCAUCUGCCAUGCAAUGACAAGGGAUGCUUAAAGGCUGUCUGGAAGAACUGCCUUCUUUAGAAACCUGAGGGCCAGGCGCAGUGGCUCACGCCUGUAACCCCAGCAAUUUGGGAGGCCGAGGCAGGCAGAUCACAAGGUCAGGAGAUCGAGACCAUCCUGACAAACACGGUGAAACUCCGUCUCUACUAAAUAUACAAAAAAAAAAAAAAAAAAUUAGCUGGGCGUAGUGGUGGGUGCCUGUAGUCCCAGCUACUCUGGAGGCUGAGGCAGGAGAAUGGCGUGAACCCGGGAGGUGGAGCUUGCAGUGAGCUGAUAUCAUGCCACUGCACUCCCGCCUGUGUAACAGAGCGAGACUCCGUCUCAAACAAACAAACAAAAAAACAAAAAACACUUGAGAGCACCAGGAGCCCAUAAAAGGAGCCAAGACUAUCCCAUCGAAUCUAAGCCCCUCCCCAUCGAAUCUAAGCCCCAUCGAAUCUAAGCACAGUGUCAAGAAGUGCAUCAUUCAAGAAGUCUCCUGCAGAGUGAAGGCCUUUCCAAAAUGAGCAUUAUGUGAAUUCAUUUCAGCAAUGUGAGGAAAAUUGAUUUCUCAACGUGGAAGGAUAGUUUUAACAGUAGCCCUGGGGUGGGGAGUGGGGGAAACUAACUAAAACACUAGGUCUUGGAUACUUAAUCAAAUAAAUCAACUUGGAGGCUCAACUGGAUUCCCCAAGCAAAGAGUGCAUGUGAAGCUUUAUAAAACUUUCCUUCUCUCCCUCAGAGGGACAGUAGCCUGGCAAAAACCUAAAUGUUCCAGGAGCAGGACUCACAGGCAUCUUGCGGUGCGUCCAUUCUCCAGGCGGAGCAAAAGGCAAGCAUGCUCACUUCCCAGAUGGCUGGUUUGGGAAGACAGGGGCUGGCUGCUCCCCAAACCCUUCCCUGAUCACCUGGCCUUGGCCUGGGGAGCUGGGGUGGAGGCUGCUCCUCUGAGAAAUAGAUUUGCCCUUUGGUUACAAAACAUCUCCAAAUGAUUGAUGAACCAGUCUCAGGGAAGAAAGAAAUGUCACUGGCACAUGAAAUACAGCCACCUUGAGAAAAAAUAUUUCACCCUUUCUGGAGGCCCUAAGCCACAGGGACAUUCAUUAGAACGGGAGUGAAAGAGGAUCAGAUUCAGUUGCAGUUGCAGGCAUGUGAGGCAGGCUGACAAAGAAGGCAUGGUCCCAUGUAACAAGAUAAUAAAUUCGCUCACAAUAAUCUGUGACGUUUGUUUUCUCCUUUGGCUAAGUGCCUCUAGUACUGGAUCCAGCCCUCAGCUGGGGCCAUAACUCUUUCUCAGCAGAUGGCGUCCAUUGGCCUUAGGAAUCUGGGUGGAGGCCCUCCAGACUGCAGGUGGAAAUGUCUCAGGCCAUGUUGACCUUGGGCACACUCUGGCUCAGGACAGAAGCCGGUUCAGAGUUAGCCUCUCUUGGGGAAGCUACAAGCUUUGUGACCACAUACUAUUUCACCUCUCCUUGUAUAAAAGGUAGGGAUCAGACUAGGUAUGUUUUCUAAACUAAAAAGAAAAUCCUAAGUGUUCUCACCGACUGAAUGAAUCCCCUUGUGACCAAGGGGGCUCUAGAAAAGCCUUAAAACUGAGUUCCUGGUCAUGACGAGGCAGGAGGUCUGACAUGCCUCAUUAUUCCCCCCUCUCUUUUAUGGUUUAAACACAACUGACCAGCACUCAGGUUAAAAUAGAGACCAUAAGAUUGACAGAACAGACUCUUUGUGACAAUAAGAUACCAAAUUAUACACAAGACCUAAGGCUAUGCCAGGCAAGGGCUAAGUCACACACGCCUUAAAGAAUAAACUGUGGGCCCAGUGGGUGGCUCAUGCCUGUAUUCCCAGCAAUCUGGGAGGUCAAAGUGGAGGGAUCACUUGAGGUCAGGAGUUCGAGACCAGCCUGGGCAACAUGGCAAAAUCCCAUCUCUACAAAGAAUAAAAAAAUUAGCCUUGCAUGGUGGCAUUUGCCUGUAGUCCCAGCUACUCAGGAGGCUGAGACAGGAGGAUCAAUUGAGCCAGGGAGGCCGAGGCUGCAGGGAACCAUGAUUGUGCCAUUGCCCUCCAGUCUGGGUGACAGAGCAAGACUCUGUUACAGAAGAAAAAAAAAAGAGUAUGUUCUAACUGCCAUGAGGUUCCCCCCCAGCCAGCUGCUGAACAAGAACUGGCCUCAAGAUAAGCAAGAUUAAAACAAUUACAGCUCAUCCAGCUCACAGACAGACACUGACUAACUGAUCCUUUGUUCUGCCAG